Molecule: long non-coding RNA, 2321 nt
Organism: Siniperca chuatsi (mandarin fish)
Lineage: Eukaryota; Metazoa; Chordata; Actinopteri; Centrarchiformes; Sinipercidae
Exons: 3
Source: RefSeq, a predicted model, not a curated record
AUCUCAGGCUGACAUAAAGAUCGACACUCUGUUGCUCAUUACAGCGUGUGAGUGUCUGCAAGGGUGAAGGUGUGUGUUCACCAGUCUCCUCCAAGGAAAGCCUACUCAACAAAGAGAAAAGAUUUAAAGCGACAGACAGGCAACUCUGAAAGCAAAGGACCUGACCCAUCUAUCCUCAAACCAUUGUAUUCCACUUGCAAGCAUCAUGGGAAGUGGUGAGAGUGAGGAGUGGGAUGAAAAGCACCAGGACACGAGGCAAACUCAGCCCCAGAAACACAAGGACACAGAGACCAGAAGCUCAGGAAGCAGCUGUCCCAAGUGCUGCUUGCGGACAAGGGACUGUCUGAUGAGCGGAGAGUGCGGCAGGGCACUUCAGAUCUCCAGCGUUAUUGCCAUGUGUGGAAUGUGCAUCCGCAUGUGGACAUAAGCUAACCUUGGACAUGAGGACCAGCUUUUCCAGGCUGUGUUGGUUCUCAGCAUCCUGCAGCACCCUUCAUGACAGUCUGGUUUUCUUCUAAUCUGAGAUGAAACAUAUUCACUUCAAGUCAUUUUCAUCAGCUAAAGUAAUCUUUAAUUCUUUAUCUACAAGUUAUUUAUUUAACAUAAACAAAUUCACUGUUUGUAUAUAAAACUAACUAGAAAGACAUUAUGAAUUAAUAGUUACACAUUAGAAGGAAUGGAUGAAUGUGACAUUGAUCUGCAUGUAUUUGUAAAACAUUAGCCUAUCUGAUUGAUCACUUCUGAUUGAUCAAAAUGCAACAGUAUUUAAUGAAUCCAGAUGUUGUAUAUGUAUAGUUAAGAUGUUUUCAAUGAUGUAAAAAAACAAACAAGUGAACUUCAUGAUGUAGAGAGAAUAAGUACUACAGUGUAACCCCAACAUUCUCUCUUAUGAUAUGAAUAAGAUGGCCAGAUGUUAGGGGAAACAACUGUGACACAUCUGAAGUAAUGAAAAACUUAGCAACAACUCUGUAACAAGGACAAAGGUAUAUUCUAUUCUGUGCCACUAAUGAUAGAGCCCUAUAAUUAAUGAAAAGGCUUUGAUAAGAAUGCUAUAACUAAAUGACAUCCUUUGCUGUCAACACCCUCGUCCGAGGUCAUUUAAAAAAAAAUUGUCAGUGCACACAAUGAGCAAGCUAACAAAGAAUGUAAUACUGUACAUUUUUUUCAAUGUCAUGUCACAAGACAGUAAUGACUCUGCCCCUUUGUGUGCCCAAUGUCCUUUUAUACACUGCUAUGUGAUACACUGAGGCACAAAUGCAUGAAAAUCAGAACUGACCCAAUUUAUAGGAGACAUUUGGUCACCAUGCACAUGAGCGACAGCGGUGGGUCUAAGAUUUUGAGCCUUUUACACAAGUACAUGUCUCACAUUAUCAAGUGAGAUAGAGUGUGGGUGGACAGCAAAGGUCGAGCCAUUGUGGGACAUGAUGGGAAGAGAGAUCUUGUGCCUCGAAAUUUGAAAGAAAUUCACUGUCAACAUGCUGCUGUCUGACCCUGACGGGGGACAGGGGACUGGAAAACCAUUACAUACUGUAGUUUGAUCAUACAUUUCUCAAGGCAUAAAUUACACUCUAUUACAUGAUGACAAGAAAACCGCUUCUACUGCUGACCUUGACACCUCAACUUGGGUCACUGUUGGUCACCAUUUUGUUUCUCUGCUCGAUGUAUAAGCAUUUGGCAAGUGUUGCCAGAUGUUAAGUGGAUAUGACUCAUGAAACAUUCUUGGUUAAGAAUGCUAACAGAUGAUUAAACCACUGAAGGAGUGGAGAACAAUACACUGCAGAAACUGAAGUGCAGUGGUGGAACAAGUAUUCAGAUCCUUUACUUAAGUAAAAGUACUAAUAACAGUUCAACCCCAAAAUCAAAAAUACGGAUUUUUCCUCUUGACUGUCCAUCUAGAUUGUUUUGUUGUAAGUUAGUUAAAGAGUUUCUGAGAUAUCGGCUGUAGAGAUGUUUUUUGAAUAUAAUGGAACUAUAUGGCACUCGGCUUGAGGUGCUCAAAGGGCCAAAAAAAUACAUUUGAAACACUCAACAGCAAUGUUUCUCUCCAGAAAUCAUGACCCAGUUACUCAAGAUAAUCUACAGACCUUGCUGUGAGCAGUUUCAUGUAGGAACUAUCGGUAGAAAGACAAUAGUUCUGAAAUAAUCUAGAUGGACAAAUAGCACUACAGGUAAGAGGAAAAAUAUGUAUCGUUGAUUUUGGGGUGAACUGUCCUUUUAGGUAAAAGUAUGUAAGUAUCAUCAGCAAAAUGUAAAGUAUCAAAAGUAAAAGUACUCAUUCAGCCUUGAAUUUAUUUUUGUGAAUAAACCAUUGAUCUGCUCCA